AAUGCCUUGUAGUAUUUUUCAUAUUGACUCUAUUUUUAUUCUACCUUUACAAUAUUUUAAAUAAAACAUAAUAAAAUAUAGGUAACAAUAUCCGUUUGUCGAGAGAAAUUGUUAAGGUUUUGUUAUAACUUAUAAAUAUUACAUCACUUACUCACUAAAGUAAUAUCAGUAAGAUUUUCGGCAAAAUAAUAUACUAUUUCUUGUUGUUUACAAAAACGAUGAGUUAUUAUCAAUAAUAUGUUUGUAUUUUUAAAACAUAUUAUUACGAAACCCUGCCUUGUUUAAAUAGCUUUUAAGUUAAAGCAUAAAGUAAAUACUACUAUUUUAUCCAUUAGCUAAUGUUUUAAUAUCUACAAAUGUGUUAAGAGUUAAUUUCUAGCACUGUUGGGAAAAUUUGUUUUAUGCGCUAAUGUAGAAAAAAGAUGAAA
This is a non-coding RNA of Cinara cedri, 428 nucleotides long. The record is from the annotation of a GenBank genome assembly. Lineage: Eukaryota; Metazoa; Arthropoda; Insecta; Hemiptera; Aphididae.